AACCCAGACACAUACGUCACAGG
Molecule: non-coding RNA, 23 nt
Filed under: Arabidopsis thaliana (thale cress)
Lineage: Eukaryota; Viridiplantae; Streptophyta; Magnoliopsida; Brassicales; Brassicaceae
Source: RNAcentral